Molecule: ribosomal RNA, 316 nt
Filed under: uncultured bacterium
Lineage: Bacteria
Description: bacterial SSU rRNA
Rfam family: Bacterial small subunit ribosomal RNA
Source: RNAcentral
AGGAAAUAGAUACCCCGGUAGUCCACGCCGUAAACUAUGGACGCUAGCUGUUAGAAGUAUCGACCCUUCUAGUAGCGAAAGCUAAACGCGUUAAGCGUCCCGCCCUGUGGAGUACGAGCGCAAGCUUAAAACAUAAAGAAUUGACGGGGACCCGGCACAAGCGGUGGAGCGUGUUGUUUAAUUCGAUGCUAAGCGAAGAACCUUACCCAGGUUUGACAUCCUACUAAUUUCUCCGAAAGGAGAGAGUGCCUUCGGGCCGUAGUGACAGGUGUUGCAUGGCCGUCGUCAGCUCGUGUCGUGAGAUGUUUGGUUAAGU